UACGAAGGGGGCUAGCGUUGUUCGGAUUUACUGGGCGUAAAGCGCACGUAGGCGGUUUGUUAAGUCAGGGGUGAAAUCCCAGAGCUCAACUCUGGAACUGCCUUUGAUACUGGCAAGCUAGAGUCCGGAAGAGGUAAGUGGAACUCCUAGUGUAGAGGUGGAAUUCGUAGAUAUUAGGAAGAACACCAGUGGCGAAGGCGGCUUACUGGUCCGGAACUAACGCUGAGGUGCGAAAGCGUGGGGAGCAAACAGG
Molecule: ribosomal RNA, 253 nt
Filed under: uncultured bacterium
Lineage: Bacteria
Description: partial 16S ribosomal RNA
Rfam family: Bacterial small subunit ribosomal RNA
Source: RNAcentral